This is a long non-coding RNA of Telopea speciosissima, 315 nucleotides long. RefSeq lists it as uncharacterized. The transcript is spliced from 3 exons. The record is from RefSeq and is a predicted model, not a curated record. NCBI's taxonomy places the organism in Eukaryota, Viridiplantae, Streptophyta, Magnoliopsida, Proteales, Proteaceae.
UGUUGUGAGAAGUUCCCGGAGACACCAUUUGCUAUCCGCAUAGCCUUUAGAGAAGAUAGGAAUCGAGAUUUUGGAUUCUUGGAUUGCAUCAAAAAGUGCAGGUUGGAUCUCUUCUCCACCCCACAGUCCUUCGUUGUCUAUAAACACAUCGAUUCCUUCUCUUUCCAGAGCUUUGUGAAGGAAACCAGUGAAGUUAUUGUGUGUUUCUUCGCCUCUAAAAUUGAGGAACACAUCAUAAGUGAAUGAUCCAGAGGAUGAGGAAGAGAAAGCUCCAUCAUCAUGUGCCGCCAUGAAGUUGUUGCAGUUUGUUCAGGA